RNAcentral lists this long non-coding RNA (281 nucleotides) under Gallus gallus (chicken). Lineage: Eukaryota; Metazoa; Chordata; Aves; Galliformes; Phasianidae. The record is from RNAcentral.
CAGAAGUUUGCAGUGUCAUAAGGCACAGCUUUUAUUCUCUUUCAUGACUAAUUGGAGAUUAAAGCAAGGAAGGAAAGCAUCCCAUACACCGAGAGGAAAAUUAACAGCAGGAUUAGUGCUCACAAAGGAUAAACCACACUGAUCAGCGAGGAGAAACUUCAAAGCACAUUCCAGGCAUUUGGUGAUGAAAGACAGGUUGAAGCAAAGCAGUGAUGAAAAGCAUUUAACAUCCCAUACACCAAGAGGCAAAGUUAACAGCAGGACUAGAGCUUACAAAGGAA